CCAGCAGCCGCGGUAAUACGUAGGCAGCAAGCGUUGUUCGGAAUUACUGGGCGUAAAGGGUUCGUAGGCGGUGCGGCAAGUCGGGAGUGAAAUCUCUGGGCUUAACUCAGAGGCUGCUUUCGAAACUGCCGUGCUCGAGUGCGGGAGAGGCGAGUGGAAUUGCAGGUGUAGCGGUGAAAUGCGUAGAUAUCUGCAGGAACACCCGUGGCGAAAGCGGCGAGCUGGAUCACUACUGACGCUGAGGAACGAAAGCUAGGGGAGCAAACAGGAUUAGAUACCCUGGUA
This 285-nucleotide ribosomal RNA is filed under the name uncultured Bacillota bacterium. RNAcentral describes it as "uncultured Firmicutes bacterium partial 16S ribosomal RNA". It matches the Rfam family "Bacterial small subunit ribosomal RNA", at positions 508 to 792 of the family's 1533-position model. The record is from RNAcentral. Lineage: Bacteria; Bacillati; Bacillota.